GAACGUCGUGAGACAGUUCGGUCCCUAUCUGCCGUGGGCGUUGGAAGAUUGAAGGGGGCUGCUCCUAGUACGAGAGGACCGGAGUGGACGAACCUCUGGUGUUCGGGUUGUGUCGCCAGACGCAUUGCCCGGUAGCUAAGUUCGGAAUCGAUAACCGCUGAAAGCAUCUAAGCGGGAAGCGAGCCCUGAGAUGAGUCUUCCCUGAUACUUUAAGUAUCCUAAAGGGUUGUCGGAGACUACGACGUUGAUAGGUCAGGUGUGUAAGUGCUGUGAGGCAUUGAGCUAACUGAUACUAAUUGCCCGUGAGGCUUAACCAUACAACACCCAAGGGGUUU
RNAcentral lists this ribosomal RNA (335 nucleotides) under Vibrio parahaemolyticus. RNAcentral's name for it is "partial 23S ribosomal RNA". It matches the Rfam family "Bacterial large subunit ribosomal RNA", at positions 2614 to 2925 of the family's 2925-position model. The record is from RNAcentral. Lineage: Bacteria; Pseudomonadati; Pseudomonadota; Gammaproteobacteria; Vibrionales; Vibrionaceae.